Molecule: RNA transcript, 891 nt
Organism: Triticum urartu
Lineage: Eukaryota; Viridiplantae; Streptophyta; Magnoliopsida; Poales; Poaceae
Gene name: Ribosomal L18p/L5e family protein
Source: RefSeq, a predicted model, not a curated record
GAUAAGGUGGCCUUCGGCUAAAUCCCCAUUCCUGCCAUUCGCUCUUGCCCGGCUUCUCCCCACGCUCCCAUGGCCGCCGUUUACCCCACCACGGCCGUCCUCCCCACGCGCCACUCCCCUCCUUCCUUCCUCCGGUCGCCGUCCCUGUCGUGGUCCGCCUCCAUCACCCAGCACCGCAUCCCCUUCUCACCGCGCCUCGCUCUCUCGCCGCCACCGGCGGCCAAUCGGCGGUCAUUCGUGGUCCGAGCGGCGUGGACGCGGCGGUCGCGCGGCGAGUUGGACAAGAGCCCGAACCGCAAGUCGUGGAAGCAGCGCACGGACAUGUACAUGCGCCCGUUCCUGCUCAACGUCUUCUUCUCCAAGCGCUUCGUGCACGCCAAGGUCAUGCACCGGGGCACCAGCAAGGUCAUCGCCGUCGCCACCACCAACGCCAAGGACCUCAGGACCACCCUGCCGUCCCUCAUCGACGACAACGCCUGCCGGACCAUCGGUCGCCUCAUAGCCGAGAGGUCCAUGGACGCCGACGUCUUCGCCAUGGCGUACGAGCCCAAGAAGAACGAGAGGAUCGAGGGGAAGCUCGGGAUUGUCAUCGACACCAUUAAGGAGUAUGGCAUCAUCUUUGCAUAGUGAUUACAAUUAUCUACGAGUACCAACCAAGUCAUCACCCGUGCUGAUCCUUGAAGAAAUUCGACUUGUUUCUCCACAAGUUGCAUCAGUUGUGCACAGACACCAUCCUGAUAUGGAGCUUCCCUUCACGAAUGCUCAGAUGAAAGUACCUUACUCCUCGUGUUUAUCUUUUUCAUGGGAAAAAUGGAUCAAUGAUGUAAUUUAACGGAACGAAACUAGUCACUGCCGAGGUCAUUCGGGCAUAUGUGAGGUAUAUUGUGCUCA